CUGUCGAAGGCGGGACGGAUAACUGGGGUGAAGUCGUAACAAGGUAGCCGUAUCGGAAGGUGCGGCUGGAUCACCUCCUUUCUAAGG
Molecule: ribosomal RNA, 87 nt
Filed under: Drancourtella sp. An12
Lineage: Bacteria; Bacillati; Bacillota; Clostridia; Eubacteriales; Oscillospiraceae
Description: partial 16S ribosomal RNA
Rfam family: Bacterial small subunit ribosomal RNA
Source: RNAcentral